GCGUUGUUGGUUUAGUGGUAAAAUUCUCCGUUGCCAUCGGGGAGCCCUGGGUUCGAUUCCCAGACAACGCA
This 71-nucleotide transfer RNA is filed under the name Plectosphaerella cucumerina. It matches the Rfam family "tRNA". Rfam says of the family: Transfer RNA (tRNA) molecules are approximately 80 nucleotides in length. Their secondary structure includes four short double-helical elements and three loops (D, anti-codon, and T loops). RNAcentral also lists the same sequence under 1 other name. The record is from Rfam by way of RNAcentral. Lineage: Eukaryota; Fungi; Ascomycota; Sordariomycetes; Glomerellales; Plectosphaerellaceae.